AACGUAGGACGCGAGCGUUAUCCGGAGUUACUGGGCGUAAAGCGCGGGCAGGCGGUCUGACAAGUCUGAUGUGAAAUCUCCGGGCUUAACCGGGAGAGGCCAUUGGAAACUGACAGGCUGGAGGGCAGUAGAGGUAGGCGGAAUUCCGGGUGGAGUGGUGAAAUGCGUAGAGAUCCGGAGGAACACCAGAGGCGAAGGCGGCCUACUGGGCUGCACCUGACGCUGAGGCGCGAAGGCGUGGGGAGCGAACGGG
Molecule: ribosomal RNA, 253 nt
Filed under: uncultured bacterium
Lineage: Bacteria
Description: partial 16S ribosomal RNA
Rfam family: Bacterial small subunit ribosomal RNA
Source: RNAcentral